AGCUGCUAUGGCACCGCCAUUCAGUCAAAAAUCAUACUUAAUAUUUGCAUACUUGAUAGCAGCAUUCUCCCCACAGAACCAUGUGAAACUACAGGAAGAAAACAUCAAAGCAAAAAAAAAAUGGCAGUUUUCCAUCAGUAUUCAAAAACCUAGAAUGAAGUUACUAAGUAGAUGAACACUCACUGAGUAUUAAUCAAUAUGUACAUUCUUGACUGUUUCCCAUUCUGCUCCAAUAGAAUUGUCAAGUGUCAGCUUUGUGUACUCUAUUUUUGGCCAAACUGAGUUUUUCCAGUUCACAGUUCACUGCAUGCUUGGAAUAAAGAGGGUCAUUAUAAAUCCUUCUACACAACGAACUUUAAGUAGACAGCUGAAAAGAAAAUGUACUACUUGUAAACACACAAAAAAAUACAAGCUCUUUUUGUUUCAAGUGAGCACUGGUUCUAGACAGAUUAUCUUCGGUAUCUACCUCUUUCUCCUCUGUCUCUGUCCCGGUCACAAAUCCUCUCUCUCUCCCUUUCCCUGUCACGGCCUCUGUCACGUUCUCUGUCUCUUCUAUUAUCUCUAGGCCGGUCCCGUUCCCGCUCUCGAUCCCUCUCUCGAGGCCUGCUUCUCCGACCGCUGACAACUGCUUGUGUGCGGCGAAGAAAGUCGUCUACCCUCAUGUCAUAGUCGUGUACUCGUUUGUCUCUAUAUCUUGCUUCAUGUGGUACAGGAUGAUGUCCUGAGUAUGGAGGGUGAGCUUGAGGUGGAGGUGCAUGGUGCUGAUAGUAAGGAUGGUGUGGUGGCUGCUCCAUACCUGGAUACGGUGGCAUUCCUUGCCAUGGUGGCGGUGGUCCCAUGUUGUGGAAUUCCCUCACGUAAUCAUUGUAGGACCCAUUUAAAAACACAUCUCGUCGAACUCCUGAAAAUCGUCUGUCGACUUCAGGAUACCUGGGAUCCUUUAUAUACCCUGGUCUUUGGUGAAACUCAGGGGGAUAGUCAAUCCUUGGUUUCUUCCUGCUGUUAUGAAUAUCAUAAUCUUCUGGUCGACGCCUUCCCACGUCCCGAACGGGGUCUCGACGAGAUGGUCGUCCUCUUGAUCGGGGCUGUGAGUGCAUUCUUCUCUUGUGCCUCAUUUUAUGAAUGAGUUGAUACAAGUCAAUACUUUCAUCAGGAGGGAACAGAAGACAAAGCUGGGUUCCACAUUCCGGCUCAAUUUCCUGUCCAUCGCGUCCAAUCUUUACUGGCUUAUGUUCGUUCCAAGGAUUGGUCAGAUGAGCAGACUUAGUGAACGGCAAUUCACGCCUACAAAUCCAGUCAAUUUUAAAUACACCUCCCA
This 1318-nucleotide long non-coding RNA is filed under the name Gallus gallus (chicken). Lineage: Eukaryota; Metazoa; Chordata; Aves; Galliformes; Phasianidae. The record is from RNAcentral.